This 259-nucleotide ribosomal RNA is filed under the name uncultured bacterium. RNAcentral's name for it is "partial 16S ribosomal RNA". It matches the Rfam family "Bacterial small subunit ribosomal RNA", at positions 47 to 305 of the family's 1533-position model. The record is from RNAcentral.
CCUAAUACAUGCAAGUCGAGCGGAGCAUCUUCGGAUGCUUAGCGGCGGACGGGUGAGUAACACGUGGAUAACCUGCCUGCACAAGGGGGACAACAGGCCGAAAGGCCUGCUAAUACCGCAUAAGCUCACGGCCUCGCAUGAGGCUGCGAGAAAAGGCGCUGCAAGGCGCUGUGUGCAGAGGGGUCCGCGGCCCAUUAGCUAGUUGGUGAGGUAACGGCUCACCAAGGCGACGAUGGGUAGCCGGCCUGAGAGGGCGACC